RNAcentral lists this long non-coding RNA (252 nucleotides) under Mustela putorius furo (domestic ferret). RNAcentral's name for it is "lncRNA (ENSMPUG00000029964.1)". The record is from RNAcentral. Lineage: Eukaryota; Metazoa; Chordata; Mammalia; Carnivora; Mustelidae.
GGGACAGAGAAAGCCAAGGGUAGGGAGGAAUUGCUGGAAAGAAAACAAACCAGCUUUUACCAGCUUUGGGUUUUCUUUCUGCCAGGUGUGCAGCAACAGCGCUGUCACUGUUGAGACUGCUCUUCUGCAGAGAAGAGGAAUGGGAGGGACGAGAAGAAAGAUGUGCUUUCCUCCCUCUUUUCUGGGUAUCUUGCAGGCUCAAGCUCACUCUCAUCCCUGAAAUAAGGUCUGCCUACACCAAGCAGCUCAGCC